Long non-coding RNA from Schistocerca americana (American grasshopper), 468 nucleotides. RefSeq lists it as uncharacterized. NCBI's taxonomy places the organism in Eukaryota, Metazoa, Arthropoda, Insecta, Orthoptera, Acrididae. The record is from RefSeq and is a predicted model, not a curated record. The transcript is spliced from 3 exons.
GACAGGUCCACAUCCUGUGGACCUUUAUCCCACAUCCACCUUGAAUCCAUGGGCACCAGUAUUCCACGGGUAAAAUGUGGUAUCUGUCGGUGCAAAAUGGAUUUUGGAUUCUCCACCCACACUGAAGCAGAGAGGAUGUGGAUGAAUCUGUCAUGAGGGAUUUUUGCCACAUUCUCUAGUGCGCACGUGAAAGGGAAGUACUGACAAAGGAUGUUAAUCCUGAACACAUAACGGAAAUGAUUUCCAGUUGAUAGUCCUGAGAGUCCAGAUGGACCAGGUCGGGGUUAAAGAUCUUAGCUUUGUGCAAGAUCUGCACAGAUAACUGUCAUGAAGUGAGAUGUUGUGAGGCAUUUUCCAGUAACUUUAUUGUAUAAUAUGCAGGAAUUUACAAUCGCAAUUAGUAUAACGUGGAAUGCCAACUUUCUCCACCACUUCGCCGUGUCGACGCUACUGAGACCGCCUGGGAAA